UCCCGGGUGACUGGGAGUCUGAAGGAAGCCGGAUGGCAAAGCGCUGGCCUGACGAACAGGAAGCGGAUACGAGGCGUGGCGACUGGGUAAGGUGUCCCAAUUCACCGAAGCCCGAAACUUGCACCGACGUUGCUACGUAGAUCCGACAGGCAUGAGCGUGAAGGUGGGUGCG
This is a non-coding RNA of Burkholderia ambifaria MEX-5, 172 nucleotides long. The record is from Rfam. NCBI's taxonomy places the organism in Bacteria, Pseudomonadati, Pseudomonadota, Betaproteobacteria, Burkholderiales, Burkholderiaceae.